AUAAUGAAUGCAGUGUGUUUUUAGUGAGUGCAGAGUGUGUACACUGAAUGCAGUGUAUGUAGUGUGUUUGUAGUGAAUGCAGAGUGUGUAUAGUGAAUGUAGUGUGUAGUGAGUGCAGAAUGUGCAUAAUAAAUGCAGAGUGUGUAUAGUGAAUGCAGAGGGUGUAUAGUGAAUGUAGUGUGUUUGUAGUGAGUGAAGAGUGUGUAUAAUGAAUGCAGUGUGUGCGUGUGCGCGCUGGAUGAUGUGUGUGUGUGUGUGCUGGAUGAUGUGUGUGUGUGUGUGCUGGAUGAUGUGUGUGUGUGUGUGCUGGAUGAUGUGUGUGUGUGUGUG
RNAcentral lists this long non-coding RNA (330 nucleotides) under Pelobates cultripes (western spadefoot toad). Lineage: Eukaryota; Metazoa; Chordata; Amphibia; Anura; Pelobatidae. The record is from RNAcentral.